Podarcis raffonei (Aeolian wall lizard) is the source of this 1458-nucleotide long non-coding RNA. RefSeq lists it as uncharacterized. The transcript has 4 exons. NCBI's taxonomy places the organism in Eukaryota, Metazoa, Chordata, Lepidosauria, Squamata, Lacertidae. The record is from RefSeq and is a predicted model, not a curated record.
UAGGAUUUGAUUUUUUGUUUUAUUUCUAUAGGUAUAGUGUAAGUUAGUUCAAAGUUUUAGUCAUUUUGUUGGAGAGGUUAGAUAGGUAACUAUGCUAAUAUGCUACAUCUGACUCAGAAUGUAGUAUUUUAUCGUAGGUUUUCUGUAUACAUGGUAAGUAAAUGCAUUUUGGGGAACUUGGAUUCUCUGUCCAGCUGGUCUUUUGUGUCUUCCUUUACAUUCCUUUGCAUUUUCCUGUGCAUUCCUCAAUGAAAGCUCAUUUUAUCCGUCAAGGUUUCCUACGCUGCUCAAAGAAUUACAUUUCCAAAAGAGAGGGAUAUGCUGUUGAAUCAUUUUAAUUCAGUCGCACAGGACACUGCAAAGGAGUCCUGUUUAUCUGAAUCAGGUUUUAAUGGGCGUUGUGCCAUGUCUUCUCUCGAUUGUAGCGUACAUUGUAAUGUUUUUGAUGUAGAAAGUUCUCUGCCUGGUCCACUGAAAGUCAGUUUAACUGUCACUUGGGUCUGAACCAAAAGCUGUGAGGAAGGGUUAAAAUUCUCAGUAUGCAAAAGAACGGUUGGUUGGACUGUUUCAAUUGGUGCGCGUGGGUUUAGAAUGCUCAUUGAACAGCGUGAUUGGCUGAUGCUGGGCUAGAAGUAUAUAUAUGACCUAACAAUGGUCAACAGAGAGCAGAAGUGGGAUGGUUAGAGCUGGCAGUGUUGGUGCUUGGUGUUUGUAGAGUCAUCCAGGAGAAGAUGGUUACAGCAACAGAGGAAGAGGAUGGGGGAAGAAGGAGGACAUUGUGAGAGGCUUUUUCGGUUCACUUGUUUUUGUGACUGUGUGGAACCCAGUUCAGCUACUGAUUAAUUGCGUGACUGCAGAAAUGGAUAGAAGUCCCCCAUCCAAACAAUGACUAUCAUCAGUGCAGAAAAGGUCUACAGAAAUAGCCUAUUGAAUAAAAAAAUGUCAAGCAACAGUUGGGUCACAGAGUCUUCAGUUGACCUUCUCAUAGAUAAGAGUCCCUUCGCUGUGAGUUUUCAGAAUAUAUCUGAGUGGGCCAAGAAAAUGCAUCUCUAUUAUCUAUAGGUAGUAAUACACGAAGAUAGCAAUAAAUACACUGAAUAACAAUAUCUCAAACAGAAAAUUUGAGAUGCAAUCUCUGAAUCACCGGACCGUUCUUUGGCACGACAUUGCUUUCGCAAGAGAAAAGUACAGAAUGCAGCUCAGAGUGGAAAAAAAUAUGAAUCUCUACAGAACUAGAUAUGGUAUUUUAAGGAGAAGGCAACAAAAGAUGAAUAGGCUCCAACUCCGCAAGUUGGGCAGAAAGUACUUGGGAAGAUGGACUUCAGGGUGGCAAGCUGGAAGGAGUGGAUGAGUUCUUCAUCCACUUAUGUGUCUGCUGUUAAACUUUGUAAUAAUAAUAAUAGUAAUAAUUUUUUAUGUAUAUCCUGCCCAUCUGGCUGGGUUUCCCCAGCCUCUCUG